CCCAGCCCGGCUCUCCUGGUCCAGAGAUCUGUUUCACAGGAACCUGAAAACCUGCCAAAUCCAUCACCCAUGAUGAGCAGGACCUAUUCUAUCAAGGAUCGGUAAUUGGGAAUAAGCUUCUCAUUUCAUCCUAAAGGAUUCUGUCACUCCACUGAAAUCUUAAGAGUCUCCAGUGCUUGUUAGGAAAGUGUGGAAGAUGAACCCCUUCUUCAUCCACAGAUGCUGAGAAUGCUAAUUAGAAGACAGGUAUCAGGAAGCCCACACAGAGACGGUUUUGGGAUUUUGUCAGCACUGGGCAAGUGGCUUAAGAUCUGCCCUGCCGGUGUUUGACACCCGAGUCUGAAGCUGGCACCUCAUCCAUUCCCUAGUCCUGCCUUUUUGCUCCCCGGGCUCCCUUUCCAGUGCCACCAUCGCCCUCUUUGCACUUCCCUCGCACUCCAUCUCAGAAGCAGACUUCAAGGAGAUCAAAAGAGGCUGCUCCUCAAGGAAGAGCAGGGGUCCUGCGGCUAGAAAGCGGGGGGCAGUCUCUGUCCACACUCAAAAAUCAAAGAAUUAGCCCGACUUAAUCAAACAAAAUAUUACUAUGUUUUCCGAACAACUUAUUCAGCUCAGAGUCAAGCAACUGUGCCCAGAAUAAUGCUUCUGGAACAGAUGGAGAAGGCAUAUGAAGCCAUGCUGGGAAGUCAUGCUUCCAGAAAUGGUGUUCAUGUCAGCCGUGUUCUCCAACAGCAAGAACCAGAAGCGCCUACCACACCAUCCUCUGGGCCCCGCACAUGUGACCACCAGGACCUUUAACAUGUGGCUCUUCCUAAUAUGUAUUAGAAAUAUUACAUAUUUGUUAAUUUGGUGCCCACUUGUAGAGACCCCAUAUUUUUCACCUUAAGGCCAACAUGAACUAAGAGCUGAAGGAAGUGUUGUGGUGACCCAGCAACAGGAGUGAAGGUACAUUCUCUACUUUGGCAUGAUGCUUGUGUUGGAAAGGAUCCUGAG
Molecule: long non-coding RNA, 990 nt
Filed under: Homo sapiens (human)
Lineage: Eukaryota; Metazoa; Chordata; Mammalia; Primates; Hominidae
Description: HSALNT0021603
Source: RNAcentral